This 64-nucleotide transfer RNA is filed under the name Marmota monax (woodchuck). RNAcentral's name for it is "tRNA.Ala". The record is from RNAcentral. Lineage: Eukaryota; Metazoa; Chordata; Mammalia; Rodentia; Sciuridae.
UGUCACUCAGUGGUAGAGUUCUUGCCUAGCAUGCCUGAAGCCCUGGGUUCAAUCCCCAGUACAA